GGUUUACGAAAUUUUAGGAUUUAUGGUUUAGAGCUUAUGGUUUGUAGGGGCUUUAAAUGUGUUUUAGGGUUUAUGGGUUAGAGCUUUUUAAGGUUUAGGGCUUUGGGUUUUUUAGGUUACGGUUUUUUAGGGUUUUAUAGGUUUAGAGUUUAGGGCUUAAGGAAUUUUUGUGUUUUUUAGGGUUCAACAUAUACGAUUUAGCGCUUUAUAGAAUUUAGAGUUUUUUAGGUUUAGUGGUUUUUGGGGUUUUUUUGGGCUUUUAAGGGUUAAUUGUUUCUU
RNAcentral lists this long non-coding RNA (279 nucleotides) under Solanum tuberosum (potato). Its description in RNAcentral is "long non-coding RNA (STUB_LNC000461)". The record is from RNAcentral. Lineage: Eukaryota; Viridiplantae; Streptophyta; Magnoliopsida; Solanales; Solanaceae.